Arabidopsis thaliana (thale cress) is the source of this 564-nucleotide long non-coding RNA. RefSeq annotates it as other RNA. The record is from RefSeq. Lineage: Eukaryota; Viridiplantae; Streptophyta; Magnoliopsida; Brassicales; Brassicaceae. The transcript has a single exon.
GUUGGGAUUAAAUGAUCAAAUGGAUCCCUAGUGACAACUCAUCAGUAGACUUUGUCCCUAGUUUCACCAGACAGAGGUUACAUAAGUCUUGAUCAUCCCCUAUUUUUAUAUAUAUAUGCUAAAUCGUGUCAAGAACCCAAUUUUUUUCACUGAAGUAAACCCUAGGAAAUUUGAUGGGCCGUCAAAAUUAAAAGUGUAUUGUAGAAACUGACAUGCAUCAGGUUCAAAUGAUUUGCAGAAAAAAGAGUGAAACUAAGGUCAAAGCUGAUCAGAAUUUGAGAAGACAAGAUAACUUUUUCUUCUUCUUCUUGCAUUUGCAUACAUAUACACACUUACACACACACCCACACAUAUAUAGAGGAGAGAGUACUAAAUCUAGCUAGAGAGAUAUUAAAUGUAUCAACAAGUGAAAUCUGGUUUUCUAAAUUAACCAAACCCUAAUCUUGGCUCUCAAUCCCCACUUUGUUAUCAUUUGAACUAGGAUCUUGUUUAGUUAAAAUUAAGAAAACAAGAUCAAGAAAUAGAGUAGGAGAAGCGUACCUGUUGUUGGCGUACUCAUAGAGA